ACAGUUAAACUUACUGAUAACCAUGUAACUCCAUGAAACAAGGUCACUAACCACCUAUGAAGUGGUAAUGCACUAUGCGUAUUCUUGAAUUGUUCUUCAAACAUCCAAAUGAACAUGGACACAUACAGUAUCCCCAAGAAACCAUUAAAAAUAGCACAAGUCAACUGCAAACGUGAGAACCUAGAAAAGCUAGGAACACUGGUGUAUUUUAAUGAUAUUGUA
RNAcentral lists this unclassified non-coding RNA (222 nucleotides) under Hevea brasiliensis (rubber tree). Lineage: Eukaryota; Viridiplantae; Streptophyta; Magnoliopsida; Malpighiales; Euphorbiaceae. The record is from RNAcentral.